RNAcentral lists this ribosomal RNA (207 nucleotides) under uncultured Eubacteriales bacterium. Its description in RNAcentral is "uncultured Clostridiales bacterium partial 16S ribosomal RNA". It matches the Rfam family "Bacterial small subunit ribosomal RNA", at positions 568 to 775 of the family's 1533-position model. The record is from RNAcentral. Lineage: Bacteria; Bacillati; Bacillota; Clostridia; Eubacteriales.
UGAGUAGGCGGUUACAUAUGUCAGAUGUAAAAGGCACAGGCUUAACUUGUGUUAGCAUUUGAAACUGUGUGACUUGAGUGCAGGAGAGGUAAGUGGAAUUCCUAGUGUAGCGGUGAAAUGCGUAGAUAUUAGGAGGAACACCAGUGGUGAAGGCGACUUACUGGACUGUAACUGACGCUGAGUCACGAAAGCGUGGGUAGCAAACAG